RNAcentral lists this small nuclear RNA (304 nucleotides) under Erinaceus europaeus (western European hedgehog). RNAcentral describes it as "7SK RNA". It matches the Rfam family "7SK RNA". Rfam says of the family: 7SK was discovered as an abundant small nuclear RNA in the mid-70s but a possible function has only recently been suggested. Two independent studies have found that 7SK RNA binds the CDK9/cyclin T complex (known as elongation factor P-TEFb). The record is from Rfam by way of RNAcentral. Lineage: Eukaryota; Metazoa; Chordata; Mammalia; Eulipotyphla; Erinaceidae.
GGAUGUGAGGGCGAUCUGGCUGUGACAUGUCACCCCAUGGAUUUCCAGGGUUGAUUUGGCUGAUCUGACUGGCUAGGCGGGUGUCCCCUUCCUCCCUCACCGCUCCAUGUGCGUCCCUCCCGAAGCUGUGCGCUAGGGGGAAGAGGACGGCCUUCCCCGAAUAGAGACGGACCGGUCUUUGGUCCAGGGUAUACAAGUAGCUGCGCUCCCCUGCUAGAACUUCUAAACAAGCUCUCAAGGUCCAAAAUGUGGUUUAAAUUAUCUUAUGCUACUAGUACCACAUUUAAGAUACAUAGAGAAUUUU